RNAcentral lists this long non-coding RNA (673 nucleotides) under Equus asinus (donkey). Its description in RNAcentral is "lncRNA (ENSEASG00005031044.1)". The record is from RNAcentral. Lineage: Eukaryota; Metazoa; Chordata; Mammalia; Perissodactyla; Equidae.
GGGAGAGCCGGCAGCAGCAGCAGCUCCCAGCUGAUUCAGUCGUUACCUAAUUGCUGGCAGCAGAGCCGUGAGUUCAGGAGACCAUGGAUAGACGGAUAAUUGCAGUCCAGACUUACGAAACAGCAAGAGCCAGGCCCUGAGAAGAGAGUACAAAUGCCGUGCUCCCUGGUGGAGGGUAUUUUAAGGAGAAGAGAUCUGACAUCUUGCUAUUGUGCUGUAUUCACCAGAAUGUUAUCUCUUUUAAUGAUGACCACAUGCCUGAAUUCUGCACAGAUACCAACAGCAGGGAUAGGUGAGGAGCCCAUGGGCAGAGUGAGAAGAGCAGUCCUAUUCACACAAGGAAUGUUUGGUCUUUCAUCUGUUCUGAAGGCUGGAAGUCUGAGGUCAACGUGUCAGCAGGAUUGGUUUCUUCUAAGGCCUCUCCCCUUGGCCUAAUCCAGAUCAAGAAGCAAGAUGAGGAAAAUGAGAUUCUCUGACUCCCUUCUGUUUGCAAAUCAAAAGCUUUGACUUACCACUAGGCGGCACUCUUCACUCUGUUAUCUUUCUGAAGCCUUCAGCCCCGUAGGGCUGCUAUUCAAAUAGAAGCACUGCAUUUACUAACGUUUGUGAAUUGUUUAGGAAUAAUCAGAAGCACACUACAAUUCUGGACAGAUUUUUUUCCCCUAAUGCUUCU